This 483-nucleotide ribosomal RNA is filed under the name uncultured bacterium. RNAcentral describes it as "partial 16S ribosomal RNA". It matches the Rfam family "Bacterial small subunit ribosomal RNA", at positions 30 to 506 of the family's 1533-position model. The record is from RNAcentral.
AUUGAACGCUGGCGGCAGGCCUAACACAUGCAAGUCGAGCGGAUGAAGGGAGCUUGCUCCUGGAUUCAGCGGCGGACGGGUGAGUAAUGCCUAGGAAUCUGCCUGGUAGUGGGGGAUAACGUCCGGAAACGGGCGCUAAUACCGCAUACGUCCUGAGGGAGAAAGUGGGGGAUCUUCGGACCUCACGCUAUCAGAUGAGCCUAGGUCGGAUUAGCUAGUUGGUGGGGUAAAGGCCUACCAAGGCGACGAUCCGUAACUGGUCUGAGAGGAUGAUCAGUCACACUGGAACUGAGACACGGUCCAGACUCCUACGGGAGGCAGCAGUGGGGAAUAUUGGACAAGGGGCGAAAGCCUGAUCCAGCCAUGCCGCGUGUGUGAAGAAGGUCUGCGGAUUGUAAAGCACUUUAAGUUGGGAGGAAGGGCAGUAAGUUAAGACCUUGCUGUUUUGACGUUACCAACAGAAUAAGCACCGGCGAACUUCGU